Molecule: long non-coding RNA, 351 nt
Organism: Helianthus annuus (common sunflower)
Lineage: Eukaryota; Viridiplantae; Streptophyta; Magnoliopsida; Asterales; Asteraceae
Exons: 3
Source: RefSeq, a predicted model, not a curated record
GUUAAUGAAGGAUUUAAGGUGAAUACACAAACUCAUCUAGUUCCGGUGCUGGCAACAUCUGUUAAGGUAAUGGUGUGUACAAAGUGAUGAAGUUGUUCGGCAAAAAAUGUUAUGAAUCUGGAUUCUGAUUGUUUAGUUUGGUGCAACGAAGAAGGGUGACAUAACUUGUGAGACAUGUCAUUAGAUAAGAUGGCAUUGAAAUUGAAGCAAUUGCAGUCUAAGGCAGGUCAGGCAUCAGAAUUUUUGUCAAAGCAUGGAAGUGCUUACUACAAGCAGCUGAUGGAGCAAAACAAGCAAUAUGUUCAAGAGCCAGCGACUGUUGAGAAAUGCAAUGAGUUGUCUAAACCAUAG